Molecule: ribosomal RNA, 160 nt
Filed under: uncultured bacterium
Lineage: Bacteria
Description: partial 16S ribosomal RNA
Rfam family: Bacterial small subunit ribosomal RNA
Source: RNAcentral
UAGGAAUCUUCCACAAUGGACGAAAGUCUGAUGGAGCAACGCCGCGUGAGUGAAGAAGGGUUUCGGCUCGUAAAGCUCUGUUGGUAGUGAAGAAAGAUAGAGGUAGUAACUGGCCUUUAUUGACGGUAAUUACUUAGAAAGUCACGGCUAACUACGUGCC